GGUCAAGUGAAGAAGCGCAUACGGUGGAUGCCUUGGCAGUCAGAGGCGAUGAAAGACGUGGUAGCCUGCGAUAAGCUUCGGGGAGUCGGCAAACAGACUUUGAUCCGGAGAUCUCUGAAUGGGGGAACCCACUCAGCAUAAGCUGAGUAUCUUGUACUGAAUACAUAGGUGCAAGAGGCGAACCAGGGGAACUGAAACAUCUAAGUACCCUGAGGAAAAGAAAUCAACCGAGAUUCCCUUAGUAGUGGCGAGCGAACGGGGACUAGCCCUUAAGUGGCUUUGAGAUUAGCGGAACGCUCUGGAAAGUGCGGCCAUAGUGGGUGAUAGCCCUGUACGCGAAAAUCUCUUAGUCAUGAAAUCGAGUAGGACGGAGCACGAGAAACUUUGUCUGAAUAUGGGGGGACCAUCCUCCAAGGCUAAAUACUACUGACUGACCGAUAGUGAACCAGUACCGUGAGGGAAAGGCGAAAAGAACCCCGGAGAGGGGAGUGAAAUAGAUCCUGAAACCGUAUGCGUACAAGCAGUGGGAGCCUACUUUGUUAGGUGACUGCGUACCUUUUGUAUAAUGGGUCAGCGACUUAUAUUCAGUGGCGAGCUUAACCGAAUAGGGGAGGCGUAGCGAAAGCGAGUCUUAAUAGGGCGUUUAGUCGCUGGGUAUAGACCCGAAACCGGGCGAUCUAUCCAUGGGCAGGUUGAAGGUUAGGUAACACUGACUGGAGGACCGAACCGACUACCGUUGAAAAGUUAGCGGAUGACCUGUGGAUCGGAGUGAAAGGCUAAUCAAGCUCGGAGAUAGCUGGUUCUCCUCGAAAGCUAUUUAGGUAGCGCCUCAUGUAUCACUGUAGGGGGUAGAGCACUGUUUCGGCUAGGGGGUCAUCCCGACUUACCAAACCGAUGCAAACUCCGAAUACCUACAAGUGCCGAGCAUGGGAGACACACGGCGGGUGCUAACGUCCGUCGUGAAAAGGGAAACAACCCAGACCGUCAGCUAAGGUCCCAAAGUUAUGGUUAAGUGGGAAACGAUGUGGGAAGGCUUAGACAGCUAGGAGGUUGGCUUAGAAGCAGCCACCCUUUAAAGAAAGCGUAAUAGCUCACUAGUCGAGUCGGCCUGCGCGGAAGAUGUAACGGGGCUCAAACCAUACACCGAAGCUACGGGUAUCACUUAGGUGAUGCGGUAGAGGAGCGUUCUGUAAGCCUGUGAAGGUGAGUUGAGAAGCUUGCUGGAGGUAUCAGAAGUGCGAAUGCUGACAUGAGUAACGACAAUGGGAGUGAAAAACUCCCACGCCGAAAGACCAAGGUUUCCUGCGCAACGUUAAUCGACGCAGGGUUAGUCGGUCCCUAAGGCGAGGCUGAAAAGCGUAGUCGAUGGAAAACAGGUUAAUAUUCCUGUACUUCUGGUUAUUGCGAUGGAGGGACGGAGAAGGCUAGGCCAGCUUGGCGUUGGUUGUCCAAGUUUAAGGUGGUAGGCUGAGAUCUUAGGUAAAUCCGGGAUCUUAAGGCCGAGAGCUGAUGACGAGUUGCCAUUAGGCGACGAAGUGGUUGAUGCCAUGCUCCCAAGAAAAGCUUCUAAGCUUCAGAUAACCAGGAACCGUACCCCAAACCGACACAGGUGGUUGGGUAGAGAAUACCAAGGCGCUUGAGAGAACUCGGGUGAAGGAACUAGGCAAAAUGGCACCGUAACUUCGGGAGAAGGUGCGCCGGUGAGGGUGAAGGACUUGCUCCGUAAGCCCAUGCCGGUCGAAGAUACCAGGCCGCUGCGACUGUUUAUUAAAAACACAGCACUCUGCAAACACGAAAGUGGACGUAUAGGGUGUGACGCCUGCCCGGUGCCGGAAGGUUAAUUGAUGGGGUUAGCUAACGCGAAGCUCUUGAUCGAAGCCCCGGUAAACGGCGGCCGUAACUAUAACGGUCCUAAGGUAGCGAAAUUCCUUGUCGGGUAAGUUCCGACCUGCACGAAUGGCGUAACGAUGGCGGCGCUGUCUCCACCCGAGACUCAGUGAAAUUGAAAUCGCUGUGAAGAUGCAGUGUAUCCGCGGCUAGACGGAAAGACCCCGUGAACCUUUACUAUAGCUUUGCACUGGACUUUGAAUUUGCUUGUGUAGGAUAGGUGGGAGGCUUUGAAGCGUGGACGCCAGUUCGCGUGGAGCCAUCCUUGAAAUACCACCCUGGCAACUUUGAGGUUCUAACUCAGGUCCGUUAUCCGGAUCGAGGACAGUGUAUGGUGGGUAGUUUGACUGGGGCGGUCUCCUCCUAAAGAGUAACGGAGGAGUACGAAGGUGCGCUCAGACCGGUCGGAAAUCGGUCGUAGAGUAUAAAGGCAAAAGCGCGCUUGACUGCGAGACAGACACGUCGAGCAGGUACGAAAGUAGGUCUUAGUGAUCCGGUGGUUCUGUAUGGAAGGGCCAUCGCUCAACGGAUAAAAGGUACUCCGGGGAUAACAGGCUGAUACCGCCCAAGAGUUCAUAUCGACGGCGGUGUUUGGCACCUCGAUGUCGGCUCAUCACAUCCUGGGGCUGAAGCCGGUCCCAAGGGUAUGGCUGUUCGCCAUUUAAAGUGGUACGCGAGCUGGGUUUAGAACGUCGUGAGACAGUUCGGUCCCUAUCUGCCGUGGACGUUUGAGAUUUGAGAGGGGCUGCUCCUAGUACGAGAGGACCGGAGUGGACGAACCUCUGGUGUUCCGGUUGUCACGCCAGUGGCAUUGCCGGGUAGCUAUGUUCGGAAGAGAUAACCGCUGAAAGCAUCUAAGCGGGAAACUUGCCUCAAGAUGAGAUCUCACUGGAGCCUUGAGCUCCCUGAAGGGCCGUCGAAGACUACGACGUUGAUAGGUUGGGUGUGUAAGCGCUGUGAGGCGUUGAGCUAACCAAUACUAAUUGCCCGUGAGGCUUGACCAU
Molecule: ribosomal RNA, 2891 nt
Filed under: Pseudomonas sp. BIGb0427
Lineage: Bacteria; Pseudomonadati; Pseudomonadota; Gammaproteobacteria; Pseudomonadales; Pseudomonadaceae
Description: 23S ribosomal RNA
Rfam family: Bacterial large subunit ribosomal RNA
Source: RNAcentral